Molecule: transfer RNA, 75 nt
Filed under: Thalassoglobus polymorphus
Lineage: Bacteria; Pseudomonadati; Planctomycetota; Planctomycetia; Planctomycetales; Planctomycetaceae
Description: Planctomycetes bacterium Mal48 tRNA-Trp
Rfam family: tRNA
About the family: Transfer RNA (tRNA) molecules are approximately 80 nucleotides in length. Their secondary structure includes four short double-helical elements and three loops (D, anti-codon, and T loops).
Source: RNAcentral
UACGGGCGUAGCUCAAUUGGCAGAGCAGCGGAUUCCAAAUCCGCAGGUUGGGAGUUCAAAUCUCUCCGCCCGUGU